This 517-nucleotide unclassified non-coding RNA is filed under the name Hevea brasiliensis (rubber tree). The record is from RNAcentral. Lineage: Eukaryota; Viridiplantae; Streptophyta; Magnoliopsida; Malpighiales; Euphorbiaceae.
GCCUCCAAAGCAGCUAUGCUCUUCGUGUUAUCUCUCUCAUGGCCGGAGAAAUGAUGGAACCAAUCAGAUUGAUUGGGAUAUGGACGAGGUAUACAAGUUCUUAACUAAUUAUUAUGGAAAAGCACUUGCAUCUCUGUACAAGGACAAGGGUCUUCUUGGGAGUGAAGCGAUUGACGGGACUAUUGAAGAUUUGGUGGCCUCAACAAAUGCAGUAGUUGUGCCAGUAGGGGCUGCAUUGGCCAUUGCUCUUGCUAGCUGUGCAUUUGGAGCACUUGCUUGUUAUUGGCGUUCACGACAGAAGAGUCGGAAGUAUUACCACCAACUACACUCUUUAAAGAACAUAUGAUAUUUAGGAGGGCAGUGCGCUUUUUCAAAAAUUAUAAUGAGUUAUAACAGAAAAAGGAAAGAAAAAAGAAAGAGAGACAAAAAAGAGAUUUUAAUGGUUAGGUAAAUUUUUUUCUUAUUUGCCAAGGAGGAAGCCGGAAGUCAGAUAGUUAGAAGGACCAAACCAUACACA